This is a long non-coding RNA of Parus major (Great Tit), 261 nucleotides long. RefSeq lists it as uncharacterized. The transcript has 2 exons. Lineage: Eukaryota; Metazoa; Chordata; Aves; Passeriformes; Paridae. The record is from RefSeq and is a predicted model, not a curated record.
ACCACCAGAACCACAUCGAAGAGGAUGCUGCUGUCCCGGAGAGACACCAGGCCGCUGAGCAGCGCCUGCGAGUGCUCUGCACUGCGUAAAACCAAGACAGCAGCUGAGAAGAGGAGCUCUGACAAGACAGCCUUCUGAGGAGCACUCAGGUCGAUUAGAGAGGGAAAACUAUCCAUGAUCAACUGAAGAGAUGAGUAAUGGGUUAUUUUUCAUGACAGGCUGAUGCUUUUCCUAGAAAUCAAAUGAAAGCAGACAAAACAU